Molecule: ribosomal RNA, 429 nt
Filed under: uncultured archaeon
Lineage: Archaea
Description: bacterial SSU rRNA
Rfam family: Archaeal small subunit ribosomal RNA
Source: RNAcentral
UACCAGCUCUCCGAGUGGUAGGGAUGAUUAUUGGGCUUAAAGCGUCCGUAGCCGGCUUAGCAAGUCUCCUGUUAAACUCAGCGACCUAAUCGUUGAAUCGCGGGAGAUACUACUAGGCUAGGAGGCGGGAGAGGUCGACGGUACUUCUGGGGUAGGGGUGAAAUCCUAUAAUCCCAGGAGGACCACCAGUGGCGAAGGCUGUCGACUAGAACGCGCUCGACGGUGAGGGACGAAAGCUGGGGUAGCGAACCGGAUUAGAUACCCGGGUAGUCCCAGCUGUAAACGAUGCGGGCUAGGUGUUGGGAUGGCUACGUGCCAUUUCAGUGCCGCAGGGAAGCCAUUAAGCCCGCCGCCUGGGGAGUACGGCCGCAAGGCUGAAACUUAAAGGAAUUGGCGGGGGAGCACCACAAGGCGUGAAGCUUGCGGUUC